AAUCCAUGGUGAGGACAUCUUCUCAUCAAAUCCUUAUACCUUUCCCAAGCCUCAUAUAAUGAUUCAGAAUCAAAUUGCAUGAAAGAAGUAAUAUCACUCUGCAUCU
RNAcentral lists this small nucleolar RNA (106 nucleotides) under Theobroma cacao (cacao). RNAcentral describes it as "Plant small nucleolar RNA R71". It matches the Rfam family "Plant small nucleolar RNA R71". From Rfam's summary of the family: R71 is a member of the C/D box family of snoRNAs containing the C (UGAUGA) and D (CUGA) box motifs. Multiple nearly identical copies of this snoRNA have been identified in Arabidopsis, and it is thought to function as a 2'-O-ribose methylation guide for 18S ribosomal RNA. Lineage: Eukaryota; Viridiplantae; Streptophyta; Magnoliopsida; Malvales; Malvaceae. The record is from Rfam by way of RNAcentral.